This 496-nucleotide small RNA is filed under the name Pan troglodytes (chimpanzee). RNAcentral's name for it is "retained intron". The record is from RNAcentral. Lineage: Eukaryota; Metazoa; Chordata; Mammalia; Primates; Hominidae.
UUUUAGCUGGGGGUGGGACGAGGAGGUGUGGAGGAAGAAGUCCUCCUUGUCUUGUUUGUGACUUUCCCAAUGUGGAGAAUAUUAAGCUAAAAGCAUUGCCUAGAAAAACUGGUUUGGGCUUCAACAACCUUGACCCUUUUCUCUGCUCAGUCCUUUGGGAUCCUAUUUCUUGGUGCUAAGAAGGGGUUCAUUCUCAAGUUAACCUAUUUCCUAUAAAAGGAAACCAGACUCAUGUCCCAGCCUCCCAUGGGACUGACUCAGCUUUGCCUCCCACAUUGCAGAUGGAUUACCGGGCCUUGGUGCAUGAGCGAGAUGAGGCAGCCUAUGGGGAGCUCAGGGCCAUGGUGCUGGACCUGAGGGCCUUCUAUGCUGAGCUUUAUCAUAUCAUCAGCAGCAACCUGGAGAAAAUUGUCAACCCAAAGGGUGAAGAAAAGCCAUCUAUGUACUGAACCCAGGACUAGAAGGAAAAUAAAUGAUCUAUAUGUUGUGUGGAUUC